UCAUUGGUUAUUCGCAGCGAGACUACUGAGUUUGAUUGUACAUUCUCUUGGUCCCUAGCCAUUCGGGUCCUUGCUGUAUAUAUUGGCUUCAGUAGGUUUAGGUUCACUAUUUGGAAUAGGAUGCACCUAGAAGAAAUCUAUCAAUCUUGAUAGAAAAGAAGAAGUCCUAUACGAUUUAUGAGACUAAGUUCAGAAAGUCCUUGGC
This 205-nucleotide long non-coding RNA is filed under the name Elaeis guineensis (African oil palm). RNAcentral describes it as "long non-coding RNA (EGUI_LNC069634)". Lineage: Eukaryota; Viridiplantae; Streptophyta; Magnoliopsida; Arecales; Arecaceae. The record is from RNAcentral.